GUUCUAUAUCCAUAAGUGCCAUCUUCUGCCCAAGUAGCAGGUCCAUAAUAAUUAAUAAUAUGUUGAGGAGGCCACUUAUCUUCCCAGCUACCUAUAUUCAAGGAUGCUCUCUCUCUUUUAUGAUUUACAUCGUAAACCUUAACUCCCAAGGUCUCUCCUGUCUCAAUUGGCAACAAGAAGAAGGAUGGCUUUGGCAUACCUAAUACACAUGCCCCUUCCCAAUCUUGUGGUAACU
This is a non-coding RNA of Pelobates cultripes (western spadefoot toad), 235 nucleotides long. The record is from the annotation of a GenBank genome assembly. Lineage: Eukaryota; Metazoa; Chordata; Amphibia; Anura; Pelobatidae.